CAGCAGCCGCGGUAAUACAAAGGGUGCAAGCGUUAAUCGGAAUUACUGGGCGUAAAGCGUGCGUAGGUGGUGGUUUAAGUCCGUUGUGAAAGCCCUGGGCUCAACCUGGGAAUCGCAGUGGAUACUGGAUCACUAGAGUGUGGUAGAGGAUAGCGGAAUUUCCGGUGUAGCAGUGAAAUGCGUAGAGAUCGGAAGGAACAUCUGUGGCGAAGGCGACUAUCUGGGCCAACACUGACACUGAGGCACGAAAGCGUGGGGAGCAAACAGGAUUAGAUACCCGUGUAGUCCCUGUCUCUUAUAC
RNAcentral lists this ribosomal RNA (301 nucleotides) under uncultured bacterium. Its description in RNAcentral is "partial 16S ribosomal RNA". It matches the Rfam family "Bacterial small subunit ribosomal RNA", at positions 509 to 807 of the family's 1533-position model. The record is from RNAcentral.